GUCAAUCUAUAAGAACAGGAUGCCUCUCCCCCGGAUGGGAAGGCUUAAUGGCGAAGCCGGUGUGAGUCCGGUGCUGUCCCGCAACUGUAAGUUCAGAGAAUAGUGACCAGGAUCUCCUGAACAAGUCAGGCCGCCCGUCCUGUUCGAUCCAGUCGG
This 156-nucleotide non-coding RNA is filed under the name Chloroflexota bacterium. The record is from RNAcentral. Lineage: Bacteria; Bacillati; Chloroflexota.